UACGAAGGGGGGCUAGCGUUGCUCGGAAUCACUGGGCGUAAAGGGUGCGUAGGCGGGUCUUUAAGUCAGGGGUGAAAUCCUGGAGCUCAACUCCAGAACUGCCUUUGAUACUGAGGAUCUUGAGUUCGGGGAGAGGUGAGUGGAACUGCGAGUGUAGAUGUGAAAUUCGUAGAUAUUCGCAAGAACACCAGUGGCGAAGGCGGCUCACUGGCCCGAUACUGACGCUGAUGGACGAAAGCGUGGGGAGCGAACAGG
Molecule: ribosomal RNA, 255 nt
Filed under: uncultured bacterium
Lineage: Bacteria
Description: partial 16S ribosomal RNA
Rfam family: Bacterial small subunit ribosomal RNA
Source: RNAcentral